CGGAGGGAUCAUUACCGAGUUUACAACUCCCAAACCCAAUGUGAACGUUACCAAACUGUUGCCUCGGCGGGAUCUCUGCCCCGGGUGCGUCGCAGCCCCGGACCAAGGCGCCCGCCGGAGGACCAACCAAAACUCUUUUGUAUACCCCCUCGCGGGUUUUUAUAUCUGAGCCAUCUCGGCGCCUCUCGUAGGCGUUUCGAAAAUGAAUCAAAACUUUCAACAACGGAUCUCUUGGUUCUGGCAUCGAUGAAGAACGCAGCGAAAUGCGAUAAGUAAUGUGAAUUGCAGAAUUCAGUGAAUCAUCGAAUCUUUGAACGCACAUUGCGCCCGCCAGUAUUCUGGCGGGCAUGCCUGUCCGAGCGUCAUUUCAACCCUCGAACCCCUCCGGGGGGUCGGCGUUGGGGAUCGGCCCUUUACGGGGCCGGCCCCGAAAUACAGUGGCGGUCUCGCCGCAGCCUCUCCUGCGCAGUAGUUUGCACACUCGCAUCGGGAGCGCGGCGCGUCCAUUGCCGUAAAACACCCAACUUUCUGAAAUGUUGACCUCGGAUCAGGUAGGAAUACCCGCUGAACUUAAGCAUA
Molecule: ribosomal RNA, 579 nt
Filed under: Trichoderma spirale
Lineage: Eukaryota; Fungi; Ascomycota; Sordariomycetes; Hypocreales; Hypocreaceae
Description: eukaryotic LSU rRNA
Rfam family: 5.8S ribosomal RNA (bases 212-365)
Source: RNAcentral